Molecule: ribosomal RNA, 1076 nt
Filed under: Bacillus sp. (in: firmicutes)
Lineage: Bacteria; Bacillati; Bacillota; Bacilli; Caryophanales; Bacillaceae
Description: bacterial SSU rRNA
Rfam family: Bacterial small subunit ribosomal RNA
Source: RNAcentral
UGACGGAGCAACGCCGCGUGAGUGAUGAAGGUUUUCGGAUCGUAAAGCUCUGUUGUUAGGGAAGAACAAGUGCGAGAGUAACUGCUCGCACCUUGACGGUACCUAACCAGAAAGCCACGGCUAACUACGUGCCAGCAGCCGCGGUAAUACGUAGGUGGCAAGCGUUGUCCGGAAUUAUUGGGCGUAAAGGGCUCGCAGGCGGUUUCUUAAGUCUGAUGUGAAAGCCCCCGGCUCAACCGGGGAGGGUCAUUGGAAACUGGGAAACUUGAGUGCAGAAGAGGAGAGUGGAAUUCCACGUGUAGCGGUGAAAUGCGUAGAGAUGUGGAGGAACACCAGUGGCGAAGGCGACUCUCUGGUCUGUAACUGACGCUGAGGAGCGAAAGCGUGGGGAGCGAACAGGAUUAGAUACCCUGGUAGUCCACGCCGUAAACGAUGAGUGCUAAGUGUUAGGGGGUUUCCGCCCCUUAGUGCUGCAGCUAACGCAUUAAGCACUCCGCCUGGGGAGUACGGUCGCAAGACUGAAACUCAAAGGAAUUGACGGGGGCCCGCACAAGCGGUGGAGCAUGUGGUUUAAUUCGAAGCAACGCGAAGAACCUUACCAGGUCUUGACAUCCUCUGACAACCCUAGAGAUAGGGCUUUCCCUUCGGGGACAGAGUGACAGGUGGUGCAUGGUUGUCGUCAGCUCGUGUCGUGAGAUGUUGGGUUAAGUCCCGCAACGAGCGCAACCCUUGAUCUUAGUUGCCAGCAUUUAGUUGGGCACUCUAAGGUGACUGCCGGUGACAAACCGGAGGAAGGUGGGGAUGACGUCAAAUCAUCAUGCCCCUUAUGACCUGGGCUACACACGUGCUACAAUGGACAGAACAAAGGGCUGCGAGACCGCAAGGUUUAGCCAAUCCCAUAAAUCUGUUCUCAGUUCGGAUCGCAGUCUGCAACUCGACUGCGUGAAGCUGGAAUCGCUAGUAAUCGCGGAUCAGCAUGCCGCGGUGAAUACGUUCCCGGGCCUUGUACACACCGCCCGUCACACCACGAGAGUUUGCAACACCCGAAGUCGGUGAGGUAACCUUUAUGGAGCCAG